GCCAGAUUUGUAUACUGUCCUAAAUAUUUUUAAGUAGAUUAGCUCAUUUGAGUCUUUCGGCAUUUUUAAAAAUUGAAUUAAGUAUUAUACACGAAGAUAACUAUUCCCCCUUCAGACGCUGUGGAUAAGAGUCAAUGGCUUGCGUUUCCAGGUCCUAGAGCAGUGAGCUAAAGAACUUGAAUUCAUUACAGCUUUUAUCUCAGUGGAGGAGUCAGGCAAGAAACAGAUAAAGAAAUAAAGGCAUAAUUUCGGAAAGUGGUAACUGCUCUAAAGAAAAAUAAAAGCAAGGAAGCUGGAAGCCGUGUUGUGAGCUGCCCUAUGGAGAGGCCCACAUAGCAAGGAACUGAGGAAGGUGUGCAGCCAACAGCCAGCAAGGAACUGAGGCCCUCAAUUCAAUAACCCAUGAGCACUUGAAUCCUGCUGAUGACCACCUGAGUGAAUGUGGAAGCAGCUCCUCCCUGAAUCCAGUCUGGAGAAGACCAGAGCCUUGUGAAAGCCCUGAGCCAGAGGCCUCAGCUCAGCCACAUCCAGAUCCCUGGCCCACAGAAACUAAAGAUAACAAAUGUAGGUUGUUUUAAGCCACUAAAUUUUCCUUUAUAAAAUAAGUAAUAUAAUAAUUGGUACCCUAUGUUUUUAACUAUGACCAUUGUCUAAAACAAAUCUUGAUAUCCAGAAGCACAUGAAGUUUGCAACUUUCCACCCUGCCCAUUUUUGUAAAACUGCAGUCAUUUUGGACGUUUUAAACACAAAUCUUAAACUCAACUAAGCUGUGAUACGUAGAAUGGUUACUGUUUAUACUGUGUGUUUUUGUUUUUUUAAGUUGGCACCUGAGCUAA
Equus quagga is the source of this 836-nucleotide long non-coding RNA. RefSeq lists it as uncharacterized. The transcript has 3 exons. The record is from RefSeq and is a predicted model, not a curated record. NCBI's taxonomy places the organism in Eukaryota, Metazoa, Chordata, Mammalia, Perissodactyla, Equidae.